RNAcentral lists this ribosomal RNA (126 nucleotides) under Triticum aestivum (bread wheat). Its description in RNAcentral is "partial small subunit ribosomal RNA". Lineage: Eukaryota; Viridiplantae; Streptophyta; Magnoliopsida; Poales; Poaceae. The record is from RNAcentral.
AUGUAGGUCUUUGUGAAGACUCUCACCGGGAAGACCAUCACACUUGAGGUCGAGUCCUCCGACAGAAUUGACAAUGUCAAGGCAAAGAUCCAGGACAAUGAGUGGCCCGUCCGCUGGUGCUGCUGA